CUUGUAUAUACUUUACUUUCAUUUGUAGCAAAAAAUCAUCAAUCUCCUUUGUAACGCAAUCAUAUUAUCAAUGUUCAACGUUGUUCUAUCACAUUACUGCUUCUUUCUCUUGUUCUUAUAACCUUGGUGAAGCAACCUAUUUUUCAAUAUCGCACAAUGUUGUCAAUCGCCAUUUUUCAAUCUUGUUAUCAUUCCAAAACUCGCACUUUGUUAGAAUUGUAAAACUGUGGAACUAUGUAUGUAAAUCUGCUCCUCCCAACUGCUACGACACUCUUUCCAACUUUAAAACAUACCUACACAAGACUUAUCUCCACAGCCACUGCUUACACUCCUGACGAACCAAACUCGCACUCUUUGAUCACGACCAACUGACAUCUUCCACUCCUCCAUGUAUCUCUUUCUACCUCUCCUCUCUUUUCAUCUACUGUGCUUCUAACCUUCCAUCUCUCUCUUCUAUUUCAUAUAUUUUGUAAUUUUGUCUGUUCUGUAAUAUUUAGUGGUGAACACCCUGCAUGGGACAUGGUCUCGUUUGUGCUUCACCUCUUUUGGCACCUGUUUGUUUGAUGUUAUCCAUAUGUUUCACAAAUGUAAUAGUCUAU
Non-coding RNA from Paramuricea clavata, 599 nucleotides. NCBI's taxonomy places the organism in Eukaryota, Metazoa, Cnidaria, Anthozoa, Malacalcyonacea, Plexauridae. The record is from the annotation of a GenBank genome assembly.